Molecule: small nucleolar RNA, 125 nt
Organism: Rhinolophus ferrumequinum (greater horseshoe bat)
Lineage: Eukaryota; Metazoa; Chordata; Mammalia; Chiroptera; Rhinolophidae
Source: Ensembl
AGAUAAUUUCAAAAAGAGCUUGUUGGACCAAAACCAGGGGCUCUUAAUGCUGUGACCAAAGAUUGAAGUUCUCCAUAGAAUGUAAGUCACUCAAUAGUGCUAUGUUUUCCUGAGGAGAUACAAAA